UACUUAGUGGCAAACGGGUGCGUAACGCGUAAGCAACCUGCCCUCAACUGGGGGAUAGCCCGGUGAAAGCUGGGGUAAACCCGCACGGUCCAGUGGAAUCACCUGGUUCUAUUGGUAAACAUUGAUGGGUUGAGGAGGGGCUUGCGUCUGAUUAGCUAGUUGGCGGGGUAAAGGCCCACCAAGGCUGUGAUCAGUAGGGGUUCUGAGAGGAUUGGCCCCCACAUGGGUACUGAGAUACGGACCCA
Molecule: ribosomal RNA, 245 nt
Filed under: uncultured bacterium
Lineage: Bacteria
Description: partial 16S ribosomal RNA
Rfam family: Bacterial small subunit ribosomal RNA
Source: RNAcentral